CCCCUAGAUGUUCUGGGCCGCACGCGCGCUACACUGAACAGUUCAACAAGUCUUAACCUUGGCCGAUAGGUCUGGGUAAUCUUUGAACGCUGUUCGUGACUGGGAUAGACCUUUGCAAUUAUGGGUCUUCAACGAGGAAUUCCUAGUAAACGCAAGUCAUCAGCUUGCAUUGAUUACGUCCCUGCCCUUUGUACACACCGCCCGUCGCACCUACCGAUUGAAUGGUCCGGUGAAAUCUCGGGACGGCGGCUUGGUCGCCUGCGUCCGACUGCUGAAACUUGAUUAAACCAUAUCAUUUAGAGGAAGGUGAAGUCGUAACA
This 320-nucleotide ribosomal RNA is filed under the name uncultured eukaryote. Its description in RNAcentral is "partial 18S ribosomal RNA". It matches the Rfam family "Eukaryotic small subunit ribosomal RNA", at positions 1470 to 1796 of the family's 1831-position model. The record is from RNAcentral.